CGCAAAACCAAGCGCCACUUUCAGCACGUGUUAACCAGGACCAGCCCUGUGGAACAACGUAGAGAAGUUGCAAUUCUAUGCUUAAUUGUCUGCUUCUCUGAAAAUCCUGAGAAUCUCAUCAAGCACCAUCAGGAUACUUAUGGGAAUAAGGAGUAACUGGAACUGCUCACACUUAAAAUCAUCACGGAAGGUGGCUCAACAGAUCAUCCAUUACAGAUAGUGCUAGAAGACAUAGAGGUGAUUAUGGGAUUGGCAGGAUGUUUGUUGCAUGUGACCUAUUGUGAAGAAUACAAUCUCUGUCUUACAAACAAAACAAAAAGAAAUAAAAAAUUAUAGUUUUAUUAGGAAUUCUUUACAAAAGUAAAUGGAAAAAUGUAAAUCCUUUAAGAAGUGUUGCAAAGGGUGAAGAAUCAAGGAAAUAACCUGUUGGAAGUGAACUUCCAUUUGUAUAUUUGUCACAUUUUGUUGUACAUUCAUGAUGUGUUGUUGUCAAAAAAAUAAA
Carassius auratus (goldfish) is the source of this 502-nucleotide long non-coding RNA. RefSeq lists it as uncharacterized. Lineage: Eukaryota; Metazoa; Chordata; Actinopteri; Cypriniformes; Cyprinidae. The transcript is spliced from 4 exons. The record is from RefSeq and is a predicted model, not a curated record.